Passer domesticus (house sparrow) is the source of this 5517-nucleotide RNA transcript. It is a transcript of the gene named angiopoietin like 5, with no coding region annotated. The record is from RefSeq and is a predicted model, not a curated record. The transcript is spliced from 10 exons. Lineage: Eukaryota; Metazoa; Chordata; Aves; Passeriformes; Passeridae.
UUUUCAAUUUAAUAUGAAGUACUAAUUUAAAAUAAGGCCUAUUCAGUUUUCUAUUUUGAAAUUACUUUGAUGACAUUUUCCAAAAUUGCCUCCACAGCCUGUUCUAGUGCACUACCACCACAGCAAUACAGACUCCUUAAUUUUAAUGAUAAAAAACCAUGGUAGAAAUUUGAAAACAUCAAGUAAUACUAGUUUUUCUUUCAAGUAGCUCAGAAUACUCAUGCCAAAUAUAAACAAAUGCUCAAAAAUAGCGUAUAAGAAAAUCUGCCAGAGUUUAUCACAAUGAAAAUAUAUAUGUUUGAUGUGUUGUGUAGAAGGGAUAAGCAGUAAUUUUCCUUCAGGAAAAUAUAUUACUAUGCAAGUAGUAAUAUAUAAAAUCUACUGUGCAGUUGAAAUGUGGUUUAUUAAAUCCAGGCAGUAAAGGAGUGAUGUGUUGGCUGCCCUUUGUGCUGUAGACAUUCCCAAAUAGUUAGAUCAGGCCUUCAUAGUGUACAAUUCUUUCCACAGAAAUUUGAAACCCAUCAAAACAUUUGCAUUUCUUCAAGUAAAAGAUGAACCACCACUUUAGGUUAACUUCAUUUAUUUGUCUUAAUAUUUUUUUGUUUGGUUUAGGAGAGACUGGCAUAAAUAAUGAUGAACGUUGUUCACCUAAGGACACAAGGAAUGUUGGAGCUGUGGAGGAACCACUCCAGGCAGAAGAGAAAAAUAAAUCUGCAGAUAUUUCAAAACAAAAAGAACAAUGCCUUGUACCAUGUGAUGCUCAAGCUAAAAUUUUACGAGGGGACAAACAUUACAUGUGCAGAAAUUUGCAGAACUCUCUUGCUGAAUAUGCCAGAAGUACAAAAAAACUGGUAAGAGACAUGAUGGAUGAUCAACAGUCUUCACUGGAUUACCUUUCUAAUCAGGUAAAUGAACUUAUGAACAAACUUGUUCUUUUGAACACAGUAAUUUUGAGAAAACAUCUGGAUCCACUUCCUUAUAAAGCAGUUCAAUCUCAUGGUUUGGACUGCACUCAUAUUAAAGAUACUGUUGGUUCAGUUUCAAAAACUCCAAGUGGUCUGUACAUUAUCCAUCCAGAAGGAUCAAAUCAUCCUUUUGAGGUUUUGUGUGACAUGGAUUUUCGAGGAGGUGGAUGGACUGUGGUUCAGAAAAGAACUGAUGGAAUUGUUCAGUUUCAGAGAACAUGGUCUGAAUAUUUAGAUGGAUUUGGUGACCUUACUGGAGAAUUUUGGCUUGGACUGAGAAAGAUUUUUGACAUCGUAAAUCAAAAGGCCACUCAUUUCAAUCUUUACGUGGAUUUGGAAUCAGAAAAUGACAAGCAUGCCUAUGCAUCAUACGAUGGAUUUUGGAUAGAGGAUGAAGCAUGCUAUUUUAAGAUCCAUUUGGGGCAUUAUUCAGGAAAUGCUGGUGAUGCAUUUAGAGGAUAUAGAAGAGAAGAUAACCAAAAUUCCAUGCCUUUCAGCACUUUUGAUGUUGAUAAUGAUGGAUGCAGGCCAGUGUGUACUAUUAAAGGACAGCCAGUAAAGAGCUGCAGUAACUUCAGUGAGAAGACUGGAUGGUGGUUCAACAAGUGUGGCCUUGCAAAUCUUAAUGGUGUUCAUCGCUACAGAGACAUUGUCACUAGGUCAGGGAGCUCCUGCAGCAGAGGUUUCUGGAGACUAAGUUCUGUUUUACCUUGAUAGCUUCUACAGGCAUCUGCUCUAGGCCCCCAUCAGGUAUGAGGCUUGCUUAGAUGGACCUCUGGAUGAAGACUGUGUAAUGGGAAUAUGUGGGGUGGGUAAUCUUCUGUAAGUGUUCAGAAACUGCAUUUAUAGAGAUGGAUGUAGGAAGCACUUCCUAGUUAAGGUGGGAUGGAUAAGCUUUGACUGUGGUUUAAUAUCACUGUUCUUAAUUCCCCUUGUGCCUGUCAGACCCUCAUUUCUGUGAUGCACCUGGCUGUUCAUGAAGAAGUAAUGCAUGGCAUUUCCCAGGUGGGCAUUAGAGGACACUUUGACCAGGUGCUGGUCAGAACACUCAUCAGAUCAGGACUUCUGAGUUCACCAUGUACCCACACUAAGUGCAGAGGGAGAAGAUGUCACUCUCUCCCUCCUUGUGCCUCUUUUCCUGGACCAUGUACAAAAACAUAGGUUUGUGUCCCUCAGCUGAAGCAGGGUUGGGGAAACUAUGAGAUAUACAGGAAAAUGAAGUCAAUUCUUCCAGUUUCAGCUAUUUUGUGGUAUUUAGCUGCAGACAAAAAAAUGUCAAAAUCCAAUUAAUUUUCUACAAUGAACAGAUGUAAAAUAGAAAUUAUUUUCCUUCUUUUUUAUUGCAAAACUAAAUACACAAGUUAUGAAACAGAACUCAACACAGGCACACAAAUACAAAACAGAGUAUUUAAAAAAUAAGGUUUCAUAUUUUAUGUCUCCUGCCGAUGACAGCAGAUUAAUUUUUGUAUUUGCAGCUAUUUCUUCCUCAUAAUAUUCAAUAAGGUCCUGUAUUGUUGCAAGGUUAAAUAUUUUUCAAACUUUUCUAGCAUUCUGGUUUAAUUCUGAUCAAAUCACAUUGGCAGUCCUCUAAAAUGCCAAGUAAUAAACAGAAUUCAGCAGGCCAGAGUACAAAAGUUGAGAAGGUCCUCACAAUAUAAAAGAAUAUUUUGUACAAAGCCUUUUGCUAUUACAAUUUUAAUAGCUUCUUUUCUUUCCAGAAAUUGCAAUCAGAAGAAAAAGUACACUCUAUUUUCUAGUGAAAUAUUUGACGGAAUUCAGCUAUGUAACUUUUCAGAUUUUGCUUUAUAUUCUUUUCCUAAUACCUUUUUAGAUGCUCCAGCUAUUUUCCUGCACUUUCUUUCUGUUCUUUUAAAUUAAUAAUUACAAGACAUAAGCAGAAGUAACUCCUGCAUUCUAAUGGCAGUGAAUGACUGAUUAUUGCUUAUCAUUCUAAAACACUGCAUUCCGUUUGUGUGUCCAGGUGUUGGUAGUGGGAGGUCUGCACUAUGGGAGUGGCUUCUGUGAGAAGCUGCUGGAAGCUUUCCCCAUGUCCAAUGGAGGCAAUGGCAGCUGGCUCCAAGAUGGAGCCACUGCUGGCCACAGCCCAGCCCAUCAGAGGCAGUGGUAGCACCUCUGGGAUAAUGUAUUUGAGACGGCCAAAAAACCCUGCUAUUCUUGUUGAAUAUUAAUCUGAUCCCUUGUAGAGCUUGCACUUUCUUUUUUUCCUUGGGAUUAAUGUCAAGCAAACUGUCAUCGAAUUCUCUCAGACAACCUGCAGCCAGAGAGGGAAGUGAGAAAGUGUGAGAGGAGCAGCCUGCAGACCCCAAGUUGCUCUUCAGAAGUUCAGUGUAACCAGAGGUCUGGGACCCCAGAUGGGAUCUAAAAAUCCCUUUUGAGAUGUGGAGUGAAACCCCACAGGUGUUUGAGAGGUGGCAAAAGCACAGCAGCAGUGACCAAGCCCUGCAGCAGCUAUUGUACUCCAAGGAAUCAGCUGUGGCCCAGGAGCAAUCAGCUGAGAGCUGAGACCAAAUAAAAGCCCUGCUCCUCAUAGAUUCCCUCUGCUUUGUGCCAAGCAGCAUCUCUGUGUGUUCCUGUCCCCUGACAGUCCUGGAGCCAGCACUCCUCCCUGCCUUCCCAGCCCCUGCUGCAGUCAUAGCUUCCCCCAACAGGAUGGUCUCAAAUGAAUUUGCACUUGCUUUCCAAAUUAAUUUGAUUCCACGUGCCUCCCACACCCACCAUUUCCUGUGGACGGGGAUUUGGGGAGGAGAGGAUGACUGGGCAGGAUUAGAUUUGCUAGAGCUUGGCAUGGAGAUAUCUGUAGGGGGAAAGGAAAGAAAGCUGAUGGCCAUUUGUUGAUUUGACAGGGUCAGGGAACCCUGCUUUUUCACCUAUGUCAUACACCCUUAAAAUGUUUACAUUGGCAUGAAACUAAACAUGUUCACUAGACACCUAGCACAUGCCUGUCCCUGGCUGAGCUGUCUUCAUCUCUCUGCCUCCUCAGAGCUCUGACACAUGUUGAAACUUUCUGAUGCACACCAGGAAAAUCAUCUGCUGCUUUUAUUUAGCUCUGCUUCUUGCCUUUGCUGUUUUGUUAAGUCUUUCUAGUUUGUUUCUAGUCUCAGCCUGUCCAUCAAAGCUUGUUCUUGUGAAAGGGAGAGGAUGGAAAUGCUGUCUGGAGAAACAAGUCACAGGUGAAACAUGUACUUUUAUGCCAGUGAGAUUUUCCUUGUUUGUUAUUGUCCUGCUCAGUACUCAGGUACUCUUCUGUAUCCUCUCAGAGUUAUUAGUACAGAAAUUGCCUAACUCUGUAUAAUGUCCACCUUAGGAUUAACAUCAUGAUGGAGAAAUCCCUGUUCUGAGCUGAUGAUGAACUCAUUUGAGCAUGUAGAAGCCAUAACAGCUUAAGGGGCUUGUUAUUAACCUGGGAGUCCAAGGUGAGUCAUGAAGACAAGACAGCGAAAUUUUAAGGUUCUGGUGUGGAGAUGCAGAAAAUUACCUAAUGGAGAGGGGCUAGGAAUCUGUUCCGUGGGUUGACUGAAGACAGGUAAAAAGGACAAAAGAAGGUGCAGAGGUAUCAAGGAGAGGACUGAGCUGAAGGUAGGGGUGGAGAGAGGUGGAGGAUGAAGCCGAACUGAAGACUAGACUACAGGCAGCCCUAUCUUUGAAGAAUUCUGAAGGUGAGGUAAAGAAGUUUGAAUCUGUUGCACAAAUGGAAAGGAUGCCAUUGGAUGCAUGAAAAAAGGCAGGAGAUAUAAUUUUUUUUGUAGCUGUGGUUAGAGAGAUGCAGGGUGUUUUGAUUUCUAAACCAAAAUUUCCACAGAACUGCAGAAAAGAGAGAAUCAAUUUGGCUAAGUCAUAUGGUAGUGUCAGUUGCAUACAUACAUACAUGACACUCUGAGUUAAAUGAUAUCCUGUUAUGCUUUUUACACAAACAGGCUACCACUUUGAAAUUAUUGAGUCUGGGAAAAUAUUCCUCAUGAGCUUUCAUUUCUCUUUGCAUAAAUGGGAGAGUUUCCCAUUGCUGUCAUUUUCUCCUGAGGGAUUUUUCUCCCUUGUCCACCAGUUUUAUACCUACUGUGAAUAACUUUUUUGUGUGUUCAUUCAUUUAAUUGAACAAAAUCUGUUAUCAAAUCCCAGAACCCCUAGACAGAAGGACCAUGUGAACAGAGAAUCUUGUUAAUAUUGGAAAGACUUCCCAGCUAACACUGAUUUGUCAAAAUACCAGUGAUAGUUUAAAGAUACUUGUUCCUUAUGUGAGUCAUUCCUAAUUCAAACAAAUAAAGCCCCAUCAAUGGAAGACUUAAUGAAACUUAACACAGCAGUUCCCUGAAGAAAAGAAGUUAAAAAAUGAAAUUUAAUUUUUAUUGCAUUUAAAAUAAAAUUAACACACAAAUACAUGUAAUUCAUUUUUGUUUAUAAAAGCACAUUUAAUAAAAUAUUAUCUCAGCACAGUGUGUGUCAUUAAACAAGAAAAUUGUGAAGUUAAUUUUCCACCUCACAAUACUUUGACUAUUAUAAUGUUACAGGAAAAAGAGAAAAAAUAAAUGCUUGU